ACGGGUGAGUAACGCGUGGGAAUCUACCGUACCCUACGGAAUAGCCCUGGGAAACUGGAAGUAAUACCGUAUACGCCCUAACGGGGAAAGAUUUAUCGGGGUAUGAUGAGCCCGCGUUGGAUUAGCUAGUUGGUGGGGUAAAGGCCUACCAAGGCGACGAUCCAUAGCUGGUCUGAGAGGAUGAUCAGCCACAUUGGGACUGAGACACGGCCCAAACUCCUACGGGAGGCAGCAGUGGGGAAUAUUGGACAAUGGGGGCAACCCUGAUCCAGCCAUGCCGCGUGAGUGAUGAAGGUCUUAGGAUUGUAAAGCUCUUUCAACGGUGAAGAUAAUGACGGUAACCGUAGAAGAAGCCCCGGCUAACUUCGUGCCAGCAGCCGCGGUAAUACGAAGGGGGCUAGCGUUGUUCGGAAUUACUGGGCGUAAAGCGCACGUAGGCGGGUAUUUAAGUCAGGGGUGAAAUCCCGCAGCUCAACUGCGGAACUGCCUUUGAUACUGGGUAUCUUGAGUAUGGAAGAGGUAAGUGGAAUUGCGAGUGUAGAGGUGAAAUUCGUAGA
Molecule: ribosomal RNA, 557 nt
Filed under: uncultured bacterium
Lineage: Bacteria
Description: bacterial SSU rRNA
Rfam family: Bacterial small subunit ribosomal RNA
Source: RNAcentral